This 327-nucleotide ribosomal RNA is filed under the name uncultured eukaryote. RNAcentral describes it as "partial 18S ribosomal RNA". It matches the Rfam family "Eukaryotic small subunit ribosomal RNA", at positions 1470 to 1796 of the family's 1831-position model. The record is from RNAcentral.
CCCUUAGAUGUUCUGGGCUGCACGCGCGCUACACUGAAGCGUUCAACGAGUAUUCACCUUGCCCGGGAGGGUUGGGUAAUCUUUUGAAAACGCUUCGUGAUGGGGAUAGAUUAUUGCAAUUAUUAAUCUUGAACGAGGAAUUCCUAGUAAACGCAGAUCAUCAAUCUGCAUUGAUUACGUCCCUGCCCUUUGUACACACCGCCCGUCGCACCUACCGAUUGGAUGGUCCGGUGAAGCCUCGGGAUUGUGGUUCUUGCCGCUUUAUUGUGGCGUGACCGCGAGAACUUGUCUAAACCUUAUCAUCUAGAGGAAGGUGAAGUCGUAACA